GUCUACGGCCAUACCACCCUGAACGCGCCCGAUCUCGUCUGAUCUCGGAAUACAAUGAUUCUGGGAUAAAUACUAAGUAAAUAUGCACAUCUAAAAGAAUAAUGUUGGACU
RNAcentral lists this ribosomal RNA (111 nucleotides) under Carlito syrichta (Philippine tarsier). Lineage: Eukaryota; Metazoa; Chordata; Mammalia; Primates; Tarsiidae. The record is from RNAcentral.